CUACGGGAGGCAGCAGUAGGGAAUCUUCCGCAAUGGACGAAAGUCUGACGGAGCAACGCCGCGUGAACGAAGAAGGCCUUCGGGUCGUAAAGUUCUGUUGUUAGGGAAGAACAAGUACCAGAGUAACUGCUGGUACCUUGACGGUACCUAACCAGAAAGCCACGGCUAACUACGUGCCAGCAGCCGCGGUAAUA
Molecule: ribosomal RNA, 194 nt
Filed under: uncultured bacterium
Lineage: Bacteria
Description: partial 16S ribosomal RNA
Rfam family: Bacterial small subunit ribosomal RNA
Source: RNAcentral